GUUUUUAUUCAUCCCCGCACGCCCCUCCACGAUCCCUACCCAGGUCGCUGUACACCACCGCCGCCGCCGCGAAUCCCCGAGGACGCCGCACGCCGCCGCCGUCGCGAAUCCCCAGGGAUGCCGCACGCCACCGCCGUCGCGAAUCACGAGAGACGCCGCUCGCCGCCGCCUCGGAUCCCCAAGGGCGUGGUCGCAUUGCCCUGAUUGGAGGAGACCCUGUCGGCCUUGCCUUGUUUGGAGGAUGAACACAGGUAUUUCGAGGCCCAUGUGUGUCAAUCCCGACCUCCGCUUUCCCCUUUUCCCAUCGAGGGCCACCGCCGCUGCUUCGUCUUCUAUCUCUCCGGAUCCCCAUCGGCACCUGCUGGAUGGUGCUCCGGGAACAGGGCCGCACGGAGGCCCUCCUCCCAUAGGAUGUGCAGAUGCGGCGCGCCUUGCAGUGGCUGUUCGGGAUGAGCGCGGGCGCGACAACCUUGUCCCAGUCGAUGAUGGCAGCGGCGAACGCCGAUGCUCCUUCUCGUCCUCUACCUCCAAGGACGCGCACCGGUACAGCUUAGGCACCCCCGUCCCCAAAUCCCGUCCACCCAUCCGGCGUUGUCCAGCUCAUCCUCACGCUCGUGGAUUCGCCUCCUCCUGUACGCGACACUUGAAACGUGGACGUGGUGAGCUUCCCCUCUCUCUACCCCCAAAUCUGGAUGGCACGAGCAUCUGUUACAUACAUACAUAUGGAUAAGCAUCUUGGUUUGGUUCUUUGGUUCAGUUUGUAUUCAAUCUGUAUGCGUCUGGAUGUAAAUGGCACUUGCAGUAUAUGGCCGCUCCUUGGUUGUCCAUUUGUAUGUGUCCAUCAGUAAUAAACGGCCGCUCCUUGAUUGUUAUUUUGAACAAAACUCCCCCUUAAUUCUUCCUGUACUGAAAUGAAUCCUUGGAAGUUAGCACCACAUGUCUGUUGUUGCUGUCGUCUUGUACUACAUGGCUUUUUUCAAUUUAAUGUCAGUCAAGUUUAUGUGAAUAUAAUCUCCUUUGAUCUGAUGUUUUGGUCUGAAUAUUUAUAUUUUAAUUAUCAUGUACGUACUAAUGCAUUCUCAAAUAUUUGGUCGGUGUUAUCUUCUAAAAUAAUAGUAAAUGUAAUCCUUAAAUAGAAGUAGAAGAAGCAUGUCCGCAAACAGAAUUGUACAUUUUCAUUCCUUUAUAGAAGUGUAAUAGAUUAUUUCUUAAAAACACAAAGAUUUCAAGUAUAGCAUCAGAACAAAGAUACAAACUGCAAUUUCAACAUCCGGUAAAUGACAUAUAUAGCGACUUGGGCGUGUCAAAUGUUGAUGUACAAACAGAAUACAUUGGAUUAAUUAUCUACUUUUUAGAACAGUUCGGAAUACAUAUUAGAAGAGCAAAUUAUGUUAUGUUCCCGGCCCAUUUCUUUCUGCUAUCUUGCUGCUGCAAGACCUGGGAGUUUUAGUGGCUAAUAUAAUUUUGACAAUUUUGCUGCAAUAUCUUCAGUUUCUCUAUUGAUUCGGACAAUUUUGCUGCUCCAAUAGUCUGAAGCAGAACCUCCGUCUUCUAUCUCAACGUCGGCGGCCCGCCGACGCCGACUCCUUAUCGACGCCCGUCGGCGGCCCGGUGACGCGACCAGAUCACUGCAAAUUGCUCCAUUCAUGUCAGCAGCCUAAUCAGGUGGAGGUGGUCGUGCUGGCGCCACUGUUUCGCUUCAUGCUGAUGCAGUAUAAAAGUGCCUCCUCGGCAGAUGAGGACCUGAGCAUGGUCGUGCUAAUGAGGAUGCAAGAUCCACCGCCACCGGCCAGUCUGAGUGCGUUGUUGUUUUCAUUCUUUGGGUCCUAGGGAUUUCGAAAUCAGGUGAUUGCAGAGAACUUCGCAGGCAGAUCAAUUACGAGGAGGUCAAGGCUGAGCUGGAGUGGGGUGGGCGCCAACAUGAAGGAGCUGGAGAUAUCUCUAUUUUUGUCGGUCAUUAUUCAGGCUCUAAAGCUUCCCCUUUUCCUAUACCACAUUACUUGAUAUUAUUAAAUUCAGUAAGCUUACUCAACUGUGAACAAGUUCAUGUGGUAAGUAGGAUCAACAAGAGUUGGCUGGCAACUUCUAUGUAUAUGUUAUUAUGGAUCAGCCAAGGUGGUUAAAUUUUCAUUUUUUUCCUUUUUCUUAAUUUAAGCCCUUAAGUUUAUGUUGUUAAAUGCAUACACAUAACUUAGUUCCAGAUUUAACAAGAGUGCAUUUUACAACGAACUUCAUAGCUGAUGUUGAUCAUAAUUAGUAAGUGUACAAAGCAUUUCAAGGAAUUUCUGUUUUGUGCAUAUUGUAUAUUGCAGACUUGCAGUGAAGUAGUGCCAUCUAAGUACCAGAUGUAUGUUAUUUUCAGAUAAGCUUUACUUAAAAUGGAAAAUACUAAAAAAGCAAAUUGUGCCACACCGUGCAAUUAAGGUGCCUUUUACUGGAAACUCAAUGCAACUUCUUGUUAUUUUCAAAUAAGCUUUUCUUAAAAUGGAAAACACUAAAAAGCGGAUUGUGCCACACCGUGCAAUUAAGGUGCCUUUUACUGGAAACUCAAUGCAACUUCUUGUUAUUCCUUCUGAACCUAGCAAUUAAGCCAUAUCUUGUUUUCACUCCUUCUGAACCUAGCAAAAUGACCUGCUUGGACCGAACGAGGACAGGUGUGUGGUGGUGGACAUAAGAUGCAUGGCGAACAUUGAGCUACAAAAGAACAUUAUGAAAGAGGUUGGAGAGGCUGGAGGAGACCAUAUACCAACACAAAGCGCAUCUUGAUGGCCAUCAAUGAGGAGCUGAACCUGCUACACCAGGCUAAUUGCAAGCAUCGGGAUGAUUUGGACGAGAGGGCUGUAGCACGACGCAAUGAAGAGCCAGAUCGUCCGUCCGCUCCCAGCUCACUUCCCGGUUCUGUUGUGCUGCCCCGUGCACCAACCAUCCAGUAAAGGUUCUGAGGUUAACAUCUCUUUUGCGAGUUUCGUAUAACUUUUGUUGUCACUUUAUUAUCUAUUGAUCCACAUGUUUGUAUUUUAGCAGACAUGAGUUACUUUAUCAUCUUUCCAGGAAGAAAUUGCUAGAGAGAAGAAAACUCAGUUUUACAAGUAGUGACAGUCCAACAUCAUAUUGACAAGUCUGGUUUCUCUUUCCAUAUACAUAAGUGUAUAAUUUGUUUUAAGUAACUGUUUCCUCGGUCCUUAUUGCCACGGUUUUCUCAAGUGCAACCGCGAGCUUAGUAAUAGCAAGAUAGAAAUUUGAGAUGGCAAAACUGUACGUCCAAUACAAUUUCUAACCUGUGCUUGACUACUUGUUGCUUCUUGCAGUUUGGUUCUUUAAAUAACAAGAAGAGAUGGCAAAACUCUACUCACAAGAAGUUGUGUAAUUUGGAAAGAUAGCUGAUCGAAAUAAACUGUCAUUGUCAUAAAUUUUGUACUGUACAUCAUACGAUUGGCCUGACCAUCUUCUUCGUCAGUGUCGGAUGUUCGACAUCAAUCUCCAUCUUUUCAUUUUCAGAAUCGCACGUGGGGUUAGUAAAGACUUCUUCAUAUUUGCUUUUGUUGCCACUGCUGCAGGAGAGUUGCCACCUGAUAGCGAUGUUGUCCCUUCAGAAUUGUUUUAAGUUCUUUUUUGCUGGUAUAAGUGCGGACUUUUGCAUUAAGCAUGACAUGGAAUUUGUUUUAUGUAAAUAUUGAUGCUUCACAAUGAAUUCAUGUUGUGAAGGGUGAUGAUUUACCUUCAGUACAAUCUAUUAUAAGUUGUAGUUUAUUUUGUUUUCAUGUGUUAUUUGCAGAGAAUAUAUGGUUCGUAUUUAUCAGGCUUAUUUCAUAUAGCUUUUUUUGGUAGCAUAUUUGUAACAGAAACGCAUUAGCCACCCUGUUCAUGAUUCAUAACACAUGCGUUUUAGUGGGAUGGAGGUAAUAUUGAGAGAGACAGACCCAUCGGGCUAAGGAAUAGAAAUAGUAUAUCUUUUGAGUCUACCAUCUUCUAUGCCAAGCAGGGUCGAGUGGGGUGAUAUACUAGGCGCUUUUCUUCUAAAUUGUACAGAAAGUCCACUGAGUUAUUGUUGUUUGUAUGCCACCUUAGAGCGAAAUAGUACUUCUUUUAAUCAUUUUUAGGUGAAAUACAAGCAUGUAGCUACCUCACUUAAUUAUUGUACUCACUUGAAGUUUAUGUUGAUAUAAUGCACUAUUUAAGUAGUAGAGAAACCUCACAAAUUUAAAUUGAUGAAUGAUAUUUAGGAAAAGAAGUAGGCAUGUUUCAUUAUAAAGGGAAAGUAUUUUUCAAGGCAUAGUGUUUAAUUCACGAAUGGUUAAACAGUUUAACAGGGACCAACACUGGGUAGCAGGGGAGUGGCAGUGCAUAGAGACAUAGUGAGGGGAGCGGGGGCGAUGAUGGAGGCGGAGAUGUUUAGAGAGAGAUAUAGAGAGUGGGAGGUUUACCAUGGUGCAAUUGAAAACUGAGGCACGCCUUGCUAAGACAAGCACACUUUAAAACAUAUCAAUACUCUGCAUUGUUUUGAUGUUGGUAUCAGGACCAGGUACCAUGUGAAGCUCAAGGAAUGGUUGUAAAUCAUUAUGGAUAAACUGAAAAAAGAUCAUUAUGGAGUACAUUAUAAACGACAUUUGGUGUCGGCGGCAUGUCACUACCACUGACAAAGUUCUCUAAAACACGAUUACUAUCAUGUACAAUGCUUUACAGUUCUCUCAUAUUCAAAUGCUAAAAUUCUGUAAUUUCACAUUUAGUAGUUUCUGCGGUGUGAAAUUCAUGUUUUAUUUUGCUUGAGCAGUUGAAAAUAAAUGCUGGCAAAGAUAUUAAAAUUCAAAUCUGGCUUAUUUUUCUCAAUAUGGGUUCAGAAGGAAAUUGUCGUUGAGCUUCUAUCUAAAGGUAUGUCAGAUUAACAGGUUGCUAUUGCAACUCUUGAUUUGGAGUAAUGCAAAGUAACUGUGGAUCUUGUCGUCGGUACAUCUUGGGUUGCCAUUCUUCUAGAACGAAGGAUUUUUUCCCUAGAUUGUGCUAUGAAAUAAUGCUUGUAUAACACCUUGAUCUCUUGGCUACACCAUGCUUUCUUGAGAACACUAUACUUGCAGAAGAAUGAUGCUUCUAUAGAAUGCCACCAUGAGUUCUGGCAGUUCUUUUAAUUCUGUGUUCACUAUGGACAAAUGAACCAUAUAAUUUGUCAAUUUAAUCAGUACUUGCUUUCAUGUUGCAAUCUCAGAUUUAGGCACUUAAUAGCCAUAGAAUAAUUUUGAAUUGUUAUGCUCAGUACACCAAAUGUUGUUCCUAGGUAAUGCACUGUUUGCAACUAAGUUUUGUCUUUAAGCACCAAGGUGUAGUAGUAUGCAAUGAAAUAAAUGGAUCAUUUCUAUCUUUCUGGUGCUCAUAAUAGACUUUUUCAUUUUGAAUUUGUAUGCUUGAAAUUUGAUUAUUUCUACCAACUGAGAGUGGAAAUGAACUGUACCGUAGGCACUUUUUCAUUAGAUUUCAGCAGCCUUGAUGGCUGAUGGCAGCAACCUCAUGGGCCACACAUCCCCUUCUUUAAUUGCAUGCCCUCAAAAAAUGUAUGGGGACUUGGUUCUUUGGUUGUCGCCGCCGGACUCAGUGAAGGACGAAAAAUUAUGAUGAUCCAGUGGAGAAUAGAUGCCACGGGCUGAAGAAAGGAGGCGACGGUUUCAGAGCACACACCUUGAAGCAGAGAGGCGGCAAGGGACUGCAUCUGGAUGGCAGAGGGAGCGGGACAAAGCAACAUCACAUGGGAGACAUGGUCAAAAUCGGCGCCGUAGGAGCAAUCGUGCGUGUGGGGGUCGUACCAGGGAGAAGGAAAAGGGUGGUCGGUUUUCUAGGGCUUUUUUCCUUGCAUCGGGAAAUGGGUUCGGUUGAAAAAAACGAUGAUGUGGGAAGGUCACGCGAGUGGUGGAUACGUGGGUACCAUUUAACGUACCAACUGCGGUUUAACAGUAGAGAUUAAGAUGUUGAUAUUUUAUUCAUUUUCUUCUUAGCUGAACAUUCAUUAAACCAAAAAUCUAUGAAACUUGUAAUGUAUCAUGGUCGCAAUUUGUGAAGUAGAACUAACUAUCCUUUGACCAAAUACCCUUUGAUCAUUCAUCAAUUUUUAUGUACUUGUCGCCCGUGACAACAAAUAUGGAUCAAAUAACUAUGCACUAUGGGCACUAAUAUGGUUACCUUCGAAUGAGUUUGUUACUGUGUUUAGUUACUAUGAUGUUUCAUAUGUUCAUCAAAAAAAUAAAGGCUUAUUUGCUUGCAUGUGCUUUCUCAUGUUUGUUUGUUUUUUCUUGUGGUUGUUCCUUUUCUAUAAUUGUCACAUAAAGUGAACCGAAACUCAUAUUCUAUAUUUCUGUUGUGUAGAUACCUGUGAGCCUGCUGUUGAACUCGCUAAAAAUGGAGAUAGACAUGGACUUAACGGUUCUCAUUCAUUUAAAUCUUAGUGAAUUGAUACCAGUUUCCAUUUGGAACUGAGAUAACGAGGAAUCGUUUCCUUCAUGAUACUGCGUGUAUGAGCUUUUUUCUUUUGGUGUAGGCCAAUAUUGUACAAAUUUAUUUCCUAAAAUUAUAUUUGAAGUUGUCUUCUAUGAGAGUAACCAUCUCAAUAUUUUUUC
Molecule: long non-coding RNA, 6599 nt
Organism: Triticum aestivum (bread wheat)
Lineage: Eukaryota; Viridiplantae; Streptophyta; Magnoliopsida; Poales; Poaceae
Exons: 5
Source: RefSeq, a predicted model, not a curated record